CCAAACUUGGUCAUUUAGAGGAAGUAAAAGUCGUAACAAGGUAACCGUAGGUGAACCUGCGGUUGGAUCAUUAACGAGUUUGAUAAUGACUUUUGGGUCAUUAUUUUAACACUGUGCACUGAAAAUGUAGUUUUUGGGUCUGAAAUAUGGCCCAAACAAUUUUAAAAACACCUAGCCAAUAUGACUAACGUUUGAAAAAAGAAACAACUUUUGACAACGGAUCUCUUGGCUCUCGCAUCGAUGAAGAACGCAGC
Molecule: unclassified non-coding RNA, 254 nt
Filed under: uncultured fungus
Lineage: Eukaryota; Fungi
Description: partial contains small subunit ribosomal RNA, internal transcribed spacer 1, and 5.8S ribosomal RNA
Rfam family: Eukaryotic small subunit ribosomal RNA (bases 1-73)
Source: RNAcentral